This 2902-nucleotide ribosomal RNA is filed under the name Escherichia coli P0298942.1. RNAcentral's name for it is "bacterial LSU rRNA". It matches the Rfam family "Bacterial large subunit ribosomal RNA". Lineage: Bacteria; Pseudomonadati; Pseudomonadota; Gammaproteobacteria; Enterobacterales; Enterobacteriaceae. The record is from RNAcentral.
UAAGCGACUAAGCGUACACGGUGGAUGCCCUGGCAGUCAGAGGCGAUGAAGGACGUGCUAAUCUGCGAUAAGCGUCGGUAAGGUGAUAUGAACCGUUAUAACCGGCGAUUUCCGAAUGGGGAAACCCAGUGUGUUUCGACACACUAUCAUUAACUGAAUCCAUAGGUUAAUGAGGCGAACCGGGGGAACUGAAACAUCUAAGUACCCCGAGGAAAAGAAAUCAACCGAGAUUCCCCAGUAGCGGCGAGCGAACGGGGAGCAGCCCAGAGCCUGAAUCAGUGUGUGUGUUAGUGGAAGCGUCUGGAAAGGCGCGCGAUACAGGGUGACAGCCCCGUACACAAAAAUGCACAUGCUGUGAGCUCGAUGAGUAGGGCGGGACACGUGGUAUCCUGUCUGAAUAUGGGGGGACCAUCCUCCAAGGCUAAAUACUCCUGACUGACCGAUAGUGAACCUGUACCGUGAGGGAAAGGCGAAAAGAACCCCGGCGAGGGGAGUGAAAAAGAACCUGAAACCGUGUACGUACAAGCAGUGGGAGCACGCUUCGGCGUGUGACUGCGUACCUUUUGUAUAAUGGGUCAGCGACUUAUAUUCUGUAGCAAGGUUAACCGAAUAGGGGAGCCGAAGGGAAACCGAGUCUUAACUGGGCGUUAAGUUGCAGGGUAUAGACCCGAACCCCGGUGAUCUAGCCAUGGGCAGGUUGAAGGUUGGGUAACACUAACUGGAGGACCGAACCGACUAAUGUUAGAAAAAUUAGCGGAUGACUUGUGGCUGGGGGUGAAAGGCCAAUCAAACCGGGAGAUAGCUGGUUCUCCCCGAAAGCUAUUUAGGUAGCGCCUCGUGAAUUCAUCUCCGGGGGUAGAGCACUGUUUCGGCAAGGGGGUCAUCCCGACUUACUAACCCGAUGCAAACUGCGAAUACCGGAGAAUGUUAUCACGGGAGACACACGGCGGGUGCUAACGUCCGUCGUGAAGAGGGAAACAACCCAGACCGCCAGCUAAGGUCCCAAAGUCAUGGUUAAGUGGGAAACGAUGUGGGAAGGCCCAGACAGCCAGGAUGUUGGCUUAGAAGCAGCCAUCAUUUAAAGAAAGCGUAAUAGCUCACUGGUCGAGUCGGCCUGCGCGGAAGAUGUAACGGGGCUAAACCAUGCACCGAAGCUGCGGCAGCGACGCUUAUGCGUUGUUGGGUAGGGGAGCGUUCUGUAAGCCUGUGAAGGUGUGCUGUGAGGCAUGCUGGAGGUAUCAGAAGUGCGAAUGCUGACAUAAGUAACGAUAAAGCGGGUGAAAAGCCCGCUCGCCGGAAGACCAAGGGUUCCUGUCCAACGUUAAUCGGGGCAGGGUGAGUCGACCCCUAAGGCGAGGCCGAAAGGCGUAGUCGAUGGGAAACAGGUUAAUAUUCCUGUACUUGGUGUUACUGCGAAGGGGGGACGGAGAAGGCUAUGUUGGCCGGGCGACGGUUGUCCCGGUUUAAGCGUGUAGGCUGGUUUUCCAGGCAAAUCCGGAAAAUCAAGGCUGAGGCGUGAUGACGAGGCACUACGGUGCUGAAGCAACAAAUGCCCUGCUUCCAGGAAAAGCCUCUAAGCAUCAGGUAACAUCAAAUCGUACCCCAAACCGACACAGGUGGUCAGGUAGAGAAUACCAAGGCGCUUGAGAGAACUCGGGUGAAGGAACUAGGCAAAAUGGUGCCGUAACUUCGGGAGAAGGCACGCUGAUAUGUAGGUGAGGUCCCUCGCGGAUGGAGCUGAAAUCAGUCGAAGAUACCAGCUGGCUGCAACUGUUUAUUAAAAACACAGCACUGUGCAAACACGAAAGUGGACGUAUACGGUGUGACGCCUGCCCGGUGCCGGAAGGUUAAUUGAUGGGGUUAGCGGUAACGCGAAGCUCUUGAUCGAAGCCCCGGUAAACGGCGGCCGUAACUAUAACGGUCCUAAGGUAGCGAAAUUCCUUGUCGGGUAAGUUCCGACCUGCACGAAUGGCGUAAUGAUGGCCAGGCUGUCUCCACCCGAGACUCAGUGAAAUUGAACUCGCUGUGAAGAUGCAGUGUACCCGCGGCAAGACGGAAAGACCCCGUGAACCUUUACUAUAGCUUGACACUGAACAUUGAGCCUUGAUGUGUAGGAUAGGUGGGAGGCUUUGAAGUGUGGACGCCAGUCUGCAUGGAGCCGACCUUGAAAUACCACCCUUUAAUGUUUGAUGUUCUAACGUUGACCCGUAAUCCGGGUUGCGGACAGUGUCUGGUGGGUAGUUUGACUGGGGCGGUCUCCUCCUAAAGAGUAACGGAGGAGCACGAAGGUUGGCUAAUCCUGGUCGGACAUCAGGAGGUUAGUGCAAUGGCAUAAGCCAGCUUGACUGCGAGCGUGACGGCGCGAGCAGGUGCGAAAGCAGGUCAUAGUGAUCCGGUGGUUCUGAAUGGAAGGGCCAUCGCUCAACGGAUAAAAGGUACUCCGGGGAUAACAGGCUGAUACCGCCCAAGAGUUCAUAUCGACGGCGGUGUUUGGCACCUCGAUGUCGGCUCAUCACAUCCUGGGGCUGAAGUAGGUCCCAAGGGUAUGGCUGUUCGCCAUUUAAAGUGGUACGCGAGCUGGGUUUAGAACGUCGUGAGACAGUUCGGUCCCUAUCUGCCGUGGGCGCUGGAGAACUGAGGGGGGCUGCUCCUAGUACGAGAGGACCGGAGUGGACGCAUCACUGGUGUUCGGGUUGUCAUGCCAAUGGCACUGCCCGGUAGCUAAAUGCGGAAGAGAUAAGUGCUGAAAGCAUCUAAGCACGAAACUUGCCCCGAGAUAAGUUCUCCCUGACUCCUUGAGAGUCCUGAAGGAACGUUGAAGACGACGACGUUGAUAGGCCGGGUGUGUAAGCGCAGCGAUGCGUUGAGCUAACCGGUACUAAUGAACCGUGAGGCUUAACCU